This 262-nucleotide ribosomal RNA is filed under the name uncultured bacterium. Its description in RNAcentral is "partial 16S ribosomal RNA". The record is from RNAcentral.
CUGCUGCCUCCCGUAGGAGUCUGGUCCGUGUCUCAGUCCCAAUGUGGCCGUUCACCCUCCCAGGCCGGCUACUGAUCGUCGCUUUGGUGGGCCGUUACCCCGCCAACUGGCUAAUCAGACGCGGAUCCAUCGUAUACCACCGGAGUUUUUCACACUGUUCCAUGCGGAACCGUGCGCUUAUGCGGUAUUAGCACCUAUUUCUAAGUGUUAUCCCCCUGUAUACGGCAGGUUAUCCACGCGUUACUCACCCGUCCGCCACUAA